AGUCAUAUGCUUGUCUCAAAGAUUAAGCCAUGCAUGUCUCAGUACAAGCCGAAUUAAGGUGAAACCGCGAAAGGCUCAUUAAAUCAGUUAUGGUUCCUUAGAUCGUACCCACAUUUACUUGGAUAACUGUGGUAAUUCUAGAGCUAAUACAUGCAAACAGAGCUCCGACCGGAGACGGAAGGAGCGCUUUUAUUAGAUCAAAACCAAUCGGCGGCGGGCUUGCUCGUCGUCGUACACCUUGGUGAAUCUGAAUAACUUUCUGCUGAUCGCAUGGUCUCGCACCGGCGACGCAUCUUUCAAAUGUCUGCCUUAUCAACUGUCGAUGGUAGGUUCUGCGCCUACCAUGGUUGUAACGGGUAACGGGGAAUCAGGGUUCGAUUCCGGAGAGGGAGCCUGAGAAACGGCUACCACAUCCAAGGAAGGCAGCAGGCGCGCAAAUUACCCACUCCCGGCACGGGGAGGUAGUGACGAAAAAUAACGAUACGGGACUCAUCCGAGGCCCCGUAAUCGGAAUGAGUACACUCUAAACCCUUUAACGAGGAUCAAUUGGAGGGCAAGUCUGGUGCCAGCAGCCGCGGUAAUUCCAGCUCCAAUAGCGUAU
RNAcentral lists this ribosomal RNA (601 nucleotides) under Normandia sp. FC_B08. Its description in RNAcentral is "SSU rRNA". It matches the Rfam family "Eukaryotic small subunit ribosomal RNA", at positions 22 to 602 of the family's 1831-position model. RNAcentral also lists the same sequence under 2 other names. The record is from RNAcentral. Lineage: Eukaryota; Metazoa; Arthropoda; Insecta; Coleoptera; Elmidae.